GGGAGCUUCGUUAGCACGUUGUGAACCUUGGCAAGGACGUGAAUUCCACUGCACGACGGCGAGGGGUGAGUUACACGGUGGUGGCGGAUUCCGACUCGGGAAGAUCCAAACCAUGGCGUUUAGGGCAUCUAGGGCUUCCCCGAUGCUUGCGGACGCAAAAGAAAACUGCAGGGAAGAGCCACGGCCUAUAUAGGGACUCAAUUGCCGCGUUGGGAAGAAAAUCCCGGGAGGAUCGGGUUGGGGCGCUGCUUGCCUCGGUUAGGUGUCCUUGCUGGACAUGGCGAAGGAAGAAGAAAGGGGAGGGGACUGACUGGUGGGGCACGGUGUCAGCCCAAGAGGGAGCAAGGAAGGGAGGCGCGCCUGCUGCCUGCUCCUGGCCCGCGCGCUGGGCCGAAGCAAGGGGAGAGGGGGAGAGCCGUGCUGGGCCAAGGGAAGAAACGGGGCUAGGCCGAGAGGGGAAAGAAAGAUGGGCCGCGGGUGGAGAGGAUCUGGGCCACUCAGGUUAGAUGCAGAGAGAGGGAGAGGUUUUCCUUUUCUUUUCUUUUAUUUUAUUUGUUGGUUUCUUUUUAUUUUGAGGUCUUUUCAAAACAGCUUUAAAACAAUUUGAAAAUAUUUUGACUUUGCCCAAAUUCACACAUUACAAAGAAAAUAAAUGCUCCAAAAAUGAAUGCACAAACAAGUUGCUAAAUCCUAUGUUAAAUUUUAUUCAAAUGAAAAAUAAGAUUUCUCUAUAUUUUAUGAACAUAAAAAUGCAAAAUUAAAUCAUUUCCACCUAUUUCAAAAUUUGUAAAUUUUUAGGUGUUACAAGGGUGCACCAUUGGCAUUGGAGCUUGACCAUG
RNAcentral lists this long non-coding RNA (839 nucleotides) under Sorghum bicolor (sorghum). Its description in RNAcentral is "long non-coding RNA (SBIC_LNC017822)". Lineage: Eukaryota; Viridiplantae; Streptophyta; Magnoliopsida; Poales; Poaceae. The record is from RNAcentral.